Mycena maculata is the source of this 95-nucleotide non-coding RNA. NCBI's taxonomy places the organism in Eukaryota, Fungi, Basidiomycota, Agaricomycetes, Agaricales, Mycenaceae. The record is from the annotation of a GenBank genome assembly.
GGCCUGGUAGUGUAAUGGUAACACGUCCUCUGGGAUUGGUUCUUUUAUCCGGCACAUCAAUGAGGGAGUGCCCUGUUCGACCCGGGGCCAGGCCA